RNAcentral lists this ribosomal RNA (460 nucleotides) under uncultured bacterium. Its description in RNAcentral is "partial 16S ribosomal RNA". It matches the Rfam family "Bacterial small subunit ribosomal RNA", at positions 338 to 795 of the family's 1533-position model. The record is from RNAcentral.
CCUACGGGUGGCAGCAGUGAGGAAUAUUGGUCAAUGGACGAGAGUUUGAACCAGCCAAGUAGCGUGAAGGAUGACUGCCCUAUGGGUUGUAAACUUCUUUUAUAUGGGAAUAAAACAGGGUAUGCAUACCCUCUUGUAUGUACCAUAUGAAUAAGGAUCGGCUAACUCCGUGCCAGCAGCCGCGGUAAUACGGAGGAUCCGAGCGUUAUCCGGAUUUAUUGUGUUUAAAGGGAGCGUAGGUGGAUUGUUAAGUCAGUUGUGAAAGUUUGCGGCUCAACCGGAAAAUUGCAGUUGAAACUGGCAGUCGUGAGUACAGUAGAGGUGGGCCGAAGUCGUGGUGUAGGGGUGAAAUGCUUAGAUAUCACGAAGAACUCCGAUUGCGAAGGCAGCUCACUGGACUGCAACUGACACUGAUGCUCGAAAGUGUGGGUAGCAAACAGGAUUAGAUACCCCUGUAGUC